Molecule: ribosomal RNA, 253 nt
Filed under: uncultured bacterium
Lineage: Bacteria
Description: partial 16S ribosomal RNA
Rfam family: Bacterial small subunit ribosomal RNA
Source: RNAcentral
UACGUAGGGUGCAAGCGUUAAUCGGAAUUACUGGGCGUAAAGCGUGCUCAGGCGGUUUUGUAAGUCUGACGUGAAAUCCCCGGGCUCAACCUGGGAAUUGCGUUGGAGACUGCAAGGCUAGAAUCUGGCAGAGGGGGGUAGAAUUCCACGUGUAGCAGUGAAAUGCGUAGAGAUGUGGAGGAACACCGAUGGCGAAGGCAGCCCCCUGGGUCAAGAUUGACGCUCAUGCACGAAAGCGUGGGGAGCAAACAGG